Molecule: long non-coding RNA, 2105 nt
Organism: Aphis gossypii (cotton aphid)
Lineage: Eukaryota; Metazoa; Arthropoda; Insecta; Hemiptera; Aphididae
Exons: 5
Source: RefSeq, a predicted model, not a curated record
UAGAUACUAGAUUAUCGUUUAUAAGAUAUUUUUUUAGUACGGAUUUUGAUUAUUAAAAUUUUCAAAUUUCUUUAAAUCAUUUUCAACAUAUUUAGUCCUUAUAUUAUAAAAGAGGAGGUAAUGUGAAAGCGGUCACCUCCCGGUCGUCAGUUCAAAAACGAAAAAAAGUCCUUACGUUAACCUAAUAUUUUGAAAACUUAUAAAUAUUUUAGAACAUUAACAUAAGUAAAUUUUUGUUGUUUAUAAGUUUUAACUAUUUAAAUACAAAAUUUAAAACUUUUAAAUUUCUUAAUAAUUAAAAAAAAAUGGAGGGUUUAGGGGUUCAUCCCCCCACCCCUGAAAUAUUUUACAACUAAUAAAUUUAAUUUAUAUAAGUAACUUAAUUAUAAUAAUUCACCAUGUGGCCAUUUGGGCACCUAAUAAUAUAAAGACUAUGUUUGAUGGCGAUUUCUUUAAUACAGAUGCUGUGAAUUUUUAUUUUCACUCUCACUGUUUCUUUUACGGCCACUCAUAUUUAAUCUCGAUUUCUAUCAUUUGCAACUAUGUAACUAUGUACAUAAUAACAACAUCGUAACAACUGAUUGCUAAAAACAAUCACUAUACUCUAUAUUGACAUUUUCCCUCUGAAAUGAAAAUUCCUCUCAAAAUGUCUGAUUCACAUUCAUCAUUGAACUGGAAAUAUUUUACAAUAAGUGUUCCAGUUAUUGCGGUGUGCUUAGGACUAACGUACUAUUUUUUUCCUAAAAAAAGUUUGGGUAGCAAUAGUGAUUGUAACCAGAAUAAUAUCGGAAAAUUUGAAACUUUCAAACUACAACCUCGGCCCACACAACCACUACUACCACCACCACAGCUACAAUAGAAGCUAACACUGCCUCUUGUGGCAAAUUGCGUAAAAACUCCAACUGGUGAAAAAACUAACAAUAUAGCAAAGAACGCUUGAAUGAGCAGUUUAGUUUGUCCCAAAAGCUCUUUGGUGGUAUUUUAUGAGUUGUUCAAUGAUGUAUCAAUUCACUUACAAGAGCAUCGACUUCAUAAUGUUAGGAAUUAUACUCUCGAAAUUGAUGGUCAAAUCUAUUUUGGAAAUCAUAUUUCCAAGAUUCAAGCAAAACAGAAAGCAUGUGAAAACUUCUUGCGCAGUAUGUUGGACUAAUAUUGCAUAUAUGUACCCAAAUCAAUAAGUAUACAUACUUCAUAUUACGUAACAAAUAUUUACGAUACAAUUGAAAAUAAUUUAAAAAAUAAUAAGCUUACUAGAGUUUUUACACAAUUAUCUACAAGAGGCAGUGUUAGCUUCAGUUGUAGCUGUGGUGGUGGUAGUGGUGAUUGUGGGGGCGGAGGUUGUUGUUUGAAAGUUUCAAAUUUUUCGAUAUUAUUCAGGUUACAAUCACUAUUGCUACCUUUAAAAUAAAAUAAUUAAUAAUAGUUUAUUACUAAGUAUCAAAAUAAGAUUAAAUCAUCAUUAUUGUCUGGAAUAUAACAAGUAUAUUUACCAAUUUGUGUGCAAAUUAUACAUUAAAAAUUUAAAAAUAAAAUAAAGUGUAUUAAACGAUUUUUAAAAUUUUGAAUUAUUUUACUCAACUGUAAAUACACAGUUAUUACACUAUAAUCAACCCUAUAGAUUUGAGUAUUAGAUCUUAGAGUCUUAGACUAUAGCAGUGGUGGCUAUAAUUGCAGCCAAACAAACAUGUAUAGUUAGUGACUUCACAUAUCGCAAAGCGAUUUCACACUAACAACAGUUAUUGGUGUAUCAUUUAAAAACAAAUAAUUUUACUUGACAUAAGACAUUUUAUUAUUAAAAUACUUAUCAUUUUUAGUAAUUUAACGAUAAAAUUAAAGCAAACAUGUUCACGCUAUUUGCGUUUAUUGAUUACUAAGAUAUUUUGGUGUAUAUAUUAGCCACAUACGGAGUCACUAACGACAUGUUUAGCUGCAACUUUGGUUUUUUUCUACAAAUACACUCGCCUUGCCUAUCUAACCAUUAAUUUCCAAGCUCAUUUAGGGAUCAAUUUCUUAAUUAAAUUAUUAGGAGAAAAUAAUCGCUUCAUAAUUUGCAUUUACACCUAUAGAAACCUAUUUGUAUAAUAAUUCACCUGGGCUCACGCCCG